UGCCAGACUCCUACGGGAGGCAGCAGUGGGGAAUAUUGCACAAUGGGGGAAACCCUGAUGCAGCGACGCCGCGUGAGUGAAGAAGUAUUUCGGUAUGUAAAGCUCUAUCAGCAGGGAAGAUAAUGACGGUACCUGACUAAGAAGCCCCGGCUAACUACGUGCCAGCAGCCGCGGUAAUACGUAGGGGGCAAGCGUUAUCCGGAUUUACUGGGUGUAAAGGGAGCGUAGACGGCAGGGCAAGUCUGGAGUGAAAGGCAGGGGCCCAACCCCUGGACUGCUCUGGAAACUGUCCGGCUGGAGUGCAGGAGAGGUAAGUGGAAUUCCUAGUGUAGCGGUGAAAUGCGUAGAUAUUAGGAGGAACACCAGUGGCGAAGGCGGCUUACUGGACUGUAACUGACGUUGAGGCUCGAAAGCGUGGGGAGCAAACAGGAUUAGAUACCCUUGUAC
This 447-nucleotide ribosomal RNA is filed under the name uncultured bacterium. RNAcentral describes it as "bacterial SSU rRNA". It matches the Rfam family "Bacterial small subunit ribosomal RNA", at positions 329 to 793 of the family's 1533-position model. The record is from RNAcentral.